RNAcentral lists this ribosomal RNA (493 nucleotides) under Prochelator sp. VTDes128. RNAcentral's name for it is "partial 16S ribosomal RNA". It matches the Rfam family "Archaeal large subunit ribosomal RNA", at positions 1939 to 2666 of the family's 2987-position model. The record is from RNAcentral. Lineage: Eukaryota; Metazoa; Arthropoda; Malacostraca; Isopoda; Desmosomatidae.
AAGGAGUGUGCCCUGCUCCAUGAUUAUUUUAAUAGCUGCAGUAUCCUGACUGUGCUAAGGUAGCAUAGUAGUUUGUCUUUUGAUUGGAGGCUGGAAUAAAUGGGUUGACGACGCCAAGACUAUUUUCAUCUUACAGAGGUUGUAAAUCAGCCGUAGCAGUUAAGUUGAUUUUUGCAUCAAAAAGUGCAACUUUUUAGGAAGACGAUAAGACCCCGUAAAACUUUAUCUCUUUGGGCGGGGUUUUAUUUAGAUCUGUAGAUUCUCUUGUGGGAUUAGGCUGGGGCAGCAUCUAAUAUACUUUAAGAAGAGAAAACAUGUUUCAGUGAAAUGGGAGAUCUUUGUUAGAGUUAGAAUAAGUUACUUUGGGGAUAACAGCGUAAUUUUUUCUUAUAGCUCUUAUAGAAGGAAAAGACUUGCGACCUCGAUGUUGAAUUGGGAGGUCGGGCCUAAGCUUUAAAUGGGCCAGGAAGGUCUGUUCGACCUUUAAACUCCC